ACUGUGGACGGGGUCCCUGGGCUUUCCCCUAGGGUCCCAUCAGCUGCUUAUGUUCUACCUUCUGACGGAUCACAGGAGGAGCCUGCAGCGGAGGAGCCUCCUCCUCCUCAGCAUCAGACCUAAAGGGAGUGUCCUGCCUGAAGGACCGGCUCAAGGUCGCACUAACAGCUCUUGCUAACUCCUGUUCCAGGCUGUUUAUCUGGGCCUCCAAGUACCCUGCUUGCGCCUGGAGGUCUCUCACCCCCAGGUCCUGCUCAAAGCUGUGCACUUGGGCCCCCAGGCAUGCGGCUUGCUCCGGAAGGUCCCUUACCUGUGGCACUGAGCAUGUACUUCCUGCAGUGCAGUUAGAAAUGCCCAUCCGACUCUGCUUGCAAAGUGCAGAGAGGGAGACACCCUUACAAAUGGAGAUUUGCUGGAUAGAAAUGUGGCCAAAGAGUUCAAUAAAAGGGCACAGCUGCUUAAAGACUGUUACCGGAAAGGAAUCCUGAUCCAGACGCCAAGAGAGGGUUCUUGGACUCAUGCAAGAAAGACUUCAGAAUACGAGUUUUGAAUUUUUGAAUUGCUGUUAAAACUUUCAUCAUGAACACUGAAGUGAGUGAAAAGAGACUUUUGCAGUCAUUUUUUUGUUCUCAGGUCCCUGGACCAUGAAGGGCCACAUCCAAGGAGCUACCCCAGGAGGCCUCUCAUUUGCAUUUGUCCCCGCUAAUGCAGGACAGAGAUCAUGGAAGUUGGGCCCGACUGGAUGAGAUUUGGGGGUCUUUGGAAGUGGAGAAUGUGUUUGCCCUGGGGAAGAGAGGUGAUGUCUAGGAGACCUCUUCACUCAGGGCAAGCUCUAUGACCUGCUUUGACUCCAGAAUGUGGUAGAAGUGGCAUCACAUAAAUUGCAGAGCCUAGGCUUCAAGAGACCUUGCAACUUGCCUCUCACUGACUUGAAGUGCUCCCAUCAGAGCAUCUUGUAAGGAGCAGGUGGAGCAUGUGGACAAGCCAUCCCCACCAGCCCCUGAGACAUGUGAGAGAGGCCAGAACAGGCCAUCCGGACCCCACUGUGCUGGUGGAUGAGACAGCAGAAGGAAUAUCAACCUACCAACAGAAUCCUGAGAAAUGCUCACUCUUACUUCAAGCUGCUGCAUUUUGAUGUUAUGAAACCAUAAAUAACUUAUGAAGUCAUCUUUGCUGACUUAAAGUUUUCCAUAACUUUAUUAUAACAUAUCAAAAUUAUGAAAAAUGUGAAAAGUAGAAAACUGAUGAAUUUUGCUUCUUCAUAUGGUCUUUAAGAAUCUCAAAGGCACUGAAGUUUUUUAUCUUUUCUGUCUUAGAAUAAAAAACCUUGAAUGAAAAUCUGCUUCUUGGAAAAGCAGCAAGGUUUAUGCAGAGGCAAUCUGGUAUUUGUGUGCACUGGCAGCUGAUCAUACCCAGCAUGCACGCACUCUCAGGGCAGAGUCUGAUGCCCCACAUAAUGGGGCAUGGUAAGGACUCCCAUGUCCUUGAGAUAAAAUGAUAAGGAAAAUACACACUGCUAUUAGAAUAACAGGCCCAGCUUCUGCACAUUUUAAUUCCCAAAGUUUUCAUGAAAGACAAUGAUUUUUUGGUACCAUGUUUAACUCUACAAGAAUCAGUAGUGAAAACUAAAAAUGAUACUUUGUGAAAGUUCAUUAAUUUUGUUUUCAGCCAGUGGUGGCCUUGGUCAGAUAGAAUCAAAUCUAUGAUACUUUUUAUCAGAAAUGCUUAUACUGUGUACAAACCCAAAGUGAUGGCUUUCAAAGAUUGAAUUUGAUUAUUUUCUGUAUGGUGCAGAUGAAAAAUUACUACACAGGAGAAGGUGGGUUGGAGGUGCUCACGAGUAACCAGGAAACAGUCUGAAGUUUUUCUGAUACUUCUCCUUGGUCCAACCAAAUGUGAGAUAUAAACACAAACUUGGGAUUCCGUUCUUA
Long non-coding RNA from Homo sapiens (human), 1931 nucleotides. NCBI's taxonomy places the organism in Eukaryota, Metazoa, Chordata, Mammalia, Primates, Hominidae. The record is from Ensembl.